This 103-nucleotide non-coding RNA is filed under the name bovine gut metagenome. RNAcentral describes it as "THF riboswitch". It matches the Rfam family "THF (Tetrahydrofolate) riboswitch aptamer". Rfam says of the family: THF riboswitch presents a pseudoknot that joins P1-P2 and the loop of P3 and two THF binding. The record is from RNAcentral.
GGAGUAGGGUAGAUGCGUCAAGUGCCAUCGAAUGGGAGGUCGUCGAUGGACGAAGCGAUCAAUGGCUUAGCCUUUGGUUACGCGGUAUCUACUCGCAGCCGCU